This 5522-nucleotide long non-coding RNA is filed under the name Ananas comosus (pineapple). Its description in RNAcentral is "long non-coding RNA (ACOM_LNC005085)". The record is from RNAcentral. Lineage: Eukaryota; Viridiplantae; Streptophyta; Magnoliopsida; Poales; Bromeliaceae.
AAUUCUACAUAAUUUGAUAUAUCGGGGGAAAAAGUUUCCUCUUCUUGUCAGUACUGGCUGGCUCGCAAUGCGCCGCAGCCAUGAACUAUGGAUCAUUUUGAAUCGGCUACUCAAUCUUGCAAAAUGUUGAUUUCACUAUCCAACCUCUAAGUUUGUUUGAUUUGAGUCUGCCAACAGUAUUUUGACUUCAAAAUUUAAACUAAUUACUUAUUUUACUGGAUGUAUCGUUGAGAGAAUUGCAUGAAGUAUUCUAACUGAACUUGUAUAGAUAAAUGACAUAUUCAAAUUUUGAAGUCAAAGUAUUGUUGGCUUACUCAAAAUCAAACAAUAAAAUCAAAAUUUUGAAAGGUUGGGUAUUCAACUCAAAAUGGUCCGUUGUUUUAGAUUAGUUCUGUAUGGUUUUACCUAAAAUUUCAAAUUUUUGGAUGCGAGAAUUGUGAUAAAUCCACUAUCCCCUCCUACACUAAUCCAGAGGUAGAAUUCUAUUUAAAGAAACCAAAAGUAACAACAACGAUGCCAAACGAGGCCUAAUAUUUGUAUUGCUUGUCAUUUAAGUUGCAAACUUGAUUAUUUUUCUACAUUAGUACCUUAUAAAUAUAUUUACUAUUUUAAUAGGUUUUGCUGUUACAAAGGCAGGACAAGCAACUAACAUCCCUCAAACAAAUAGAAUUUGGUGCUUUUAAACUUUGUAAAUGAAGCACCCGAGUCGUUGCGCAUGCACAAUCUAUUUAGCAUUGAAAUUUUAAAUUUAUAGAUGUGCAGAUCUCUAUAAACAAAUACUUACUGGAGGAUAUUUUUUGUUUCUGAGGAAAGAAAUGAUUUGGGAAUAAAAUGUCAUGGGCUUAAUGCUAAACUUGAACAUAGUAGCUUUGAUUGAGGGAGUGUUUGGUUACCUAAAAAGUAUUUUCCGUUUUUUUGGUUCCCAGGAAAAGUAGUUUUUCUAGAAAACUUUUUUCUAAAUUUCAUGAAAGAGUGUCCUUUCUAUUCUUUGGAUUUUUAAUCCGGAAAACAAAAACUAUGGAAAGAGUGUUUUCCAUGGAAAUUUUUUAUCUCAAAAAAUAGUUUUCUACACUCUUCUGAGAAAUCAAACACUCCUUUAAUUCACGUAAAUGAUAGCGUAAAUCGUCUAUUUUGGUAGUAAGAGAAAGUUUGUAGUUCUCACAAAGAACGUGAAAUCGAGAAAGCAAUGCAUGUUUAUUUUUGGCCUAUAGUUAGUUAAUUCACGAAUUAUUUGUGAAUUAUUCGUAAGUUUUUGAAAAAUUGAAUUAAACAGCCAGUUUCAUAAUUUUUCAAAAAUUCAGAAAAAAUACGUAUAUUUAGAUAAAAGUAAUUGUUUACGAAUUAUAUAUUGUUUGUGAAUAGUUCGCCUCAAAAGAACGGCGCUCGCGGUCGCUGCAACGCAGACUCGCGGGUACCCCAACAAAAAAAAAAAAAAAAAAAAAAAAAAGGAAAAAAAAAGAGGGUUUGCCCUAACUUCGCAGCCCUGCGGCGCUGCCACCGACCCCAGUCCCCAUCCCUUUCCCUGCCCCUCUUCCCGUCCGGCCGCUCGCCGAACGCCAUCGGAAGCCCUCCUCUUCAGAAAUCGAAGAUCGAAGAUCGGGUUCUUCACUCUUCAGAAAUCGAAACCCUCCUCGUCGCCUCUUCCUCUUCCGCUUCCGCUUCCGCUUCCUCUCCCGCUUCCGCUAUCCAACGAUAGAUCAGUAACCGNCGGGUGGUUCUUUACAAACCAGGUACGAUUUGAGUUUUCAUUCUUCAAAGCAAAAGUUGGAAGCUUUUAGUCCAUCUGAUGGAUAAGUUUUUAUACACAAAUGGCGGCUCGAGUGCUUAAAUUGAAUGUGUCCAUUCUCUGUUAUGCACAAAGAAGACCCAAACAUAGAGCUAAAUAAUCUUAAUUAACUUAGGGACCAGGAACUCUUGUAUUAUACCUAAUCAAUUUCAUGAUCUUGUCGACACUUGCAAAAGGAGUUCGCUGAUUAUAAUUACUAAAACUUUCUGUGCUUGUAUGCUCUAUGUUUAUUCAAGCUUUUAUGUAUGCUCAUAUGUGGAAUUGUGAACUUUAUGUAUCUUUUAUUUGUUUACUGUUUAGACUUUAGAAUUUAGAUAUGCUAGUAUGCACUAUGCAAAGUGUCAGUUUCAUCUUGUAUUUAGUUUCUAACUAUGCUUGUAUGUGAACCUUUUAUAUUUUACAUUUAAAUAUGGACUAUCUUGAUCUCUUAUUUGCUUAAUUAUUUAUUUAUUUUGAGGCAUAAUAUAAUUUACUAUUUUUUUUACUUAAUUAGUUUAAUUUUGUAGCUCUUUAUUCUUAUAUUCUUAAAAAAUAUGAGUAUUUAUGCUAAUAGCAUAAAUCUUGAGAGAAAAAAACUUAAUUUAAUAGCCGACUUUUUGAUCCCGAAUUUUUAAUUGGUGAACGUAUAAUAUCCGUAUAAAUCACGUAUCCGAAUAAUUGGCGAAUCCGUUUUUUAGCCGUUGUUUUUAACGAAUUUAAAAAUUAGAAGGCGAAUUUUAUCCGAAUUAUAUCCGUACCGAAUUUUUGCCGAAUCGGAAUUAACUAACUAUGGCUACGAGGGACUCUUUAUAGAACAAUAUAAAACAUGAGGUGCUAAAGUGAUAACAAAUGGUAAAAUUCACCCCUCCUCUUCAUCCCUAAACUUCUGCCACCCCGUUCCAUCUCGUCGCCAUUAGAACUUCAUCCCAAGUGAGGUAAACCCUUCUCUCUCUCUCUCUCUCUCCCCCUAGUAAUAAAAAUGAUACGUUGAAUCUAUAUUAUCCUCUCUUCAUCUAAUUUAUCUUAUGAUUGCGGUUCCUGAAUCCUUUUCUCAUAGUGCUUCUUUUUUCCUUUUCUGUUUUGAGGGAUUUUAGGGUUAAUUUAUUGUUGUUGAUAAGAUUAUGCAAAAGAUUAUAGAUCUCAAGGGUUGUGAUCUAUGGCUAUUCCAAACAAUGGCCUUGUUCGGCAUCAUUGCCGUUUUGAUUGUGUUUUUUAACCACUAAUUCUACAUUAUUUGAUAUAUCGGGGGAAAAAGUUUCCUCUUCUUGUCAGCAUUGGCUGGCUCGCAAUGCGUCGCGGCCAUGAACUGUGGAUCAUUUUGAAUCGACUACUCAACCUUGCAAAAUUUUGAUUUUACUAUCCAACCUUUCAAUUUGUUUGAUUUGAGUCUGUCAACAGUAUUUUGAAUUCAAAAUUUAAAGUAAUUGCUUAUUUUACUGGACGUAUCGUUGAGAGAAUUGCAUGAAGUAUACUAACUGAACUUGUAUAGAUAAAUGACGCAUUCAAAUUUUGAAGUCAAAGUACCCUUGUUUGACUCAAAAUCAAACAACAAAAUCAAAUUUUGAAAGGUUGGGUAUUCAACUCAAAAUGAUCUGUAGUUUUAGAUUAGUUCUGUAUGGUUUUACCAAAAAUUUCAAAUUUUUGAAUACGAGAAUUGUGAUAAAUUCACUAUCCCCUCCUACACUAAUCCGGAUAGAAUUCUAUUUAAAGAAACAAAAAGUAACAACAACGAUGCCAAACGAGGCCUAAUAUUUGCAUUGCUUGUCAUUUAAGUUGCAAACUUGAUUAUUUUUCUACAUUAGUACCUUAUAAAUAUAUUUACUAUUUUAAUAGGUUUUGCUGUUACAAAGGCAGGACAAGCAACUAACAUCCCUCAAACAAAUAGAAUUUGGUGGUUUUAAACUUUGUAAAUGAAGCACCCGAGUCGUUGCGUAUGCACAAUCUAUUUAGCAUUGAAAUUUUAAAUUUAUAGAUGUGCAGAUCUCUAUAAACAAAUACUUACUGGAGGAUUUUUUUGUUUCUGAGGAAAGAAAUGAUUUGGGAAUAAAAUGUCAUGGGCUUAAUGCUAAACUUGAACAUAAUAGCUUUGAUUGAGGGAGUGUUUGGUUACCUAAAAAGUAUUUUCCGUUUGUUUGGUUCCCAGGAAAAGUAGUUUUCCUAGAAAACUUUUUUCUAAAUUUCAUGAAAGAGUCUCCUUUCUAUUCUUUGGAUUUUUAAUCCGGAAAACAAAAACUAUGGAAAGAGUGUUUUCCAUGGAAAUUUUUUAUCUCAGAAAAUAGUUUUCCACACUCUUCUGAGGAAUCAAACACCCCUUUAAUUCACGUAAAUGAUAGCGUAAAUCGUCUAUUUUGGUAGCAAGAGAAAGCUUGUAGUUCUCACAAAGAACGUGAGAUCGAGAAAGCAAUGCAUGUGUACUUUUGGCCUAUUAUUUUAAAGGUGAGUCUCCUGGUAGUUUAGCUUUAUAAUUGAAUAUGAAAUGUUGCUUCGAAACAAAUUUGCCAAGUUUCAAAGCAGUCCCUAAUUUGGAGGGACCACUGAAUGAAUUUGAUGGUCAACCAAACAAAUUUUACAAAUCAACUAUAGAAGACUUCACCAAGUACUAUUGUGCUUUACUCAUAAGAAAUUUGGACCAAGCAUAUUUUGAUGCAGCUUAAGAAAGAUUCUUAUCUUUCUUUUUUAUUUCUUUUAAUUAGUUUAACUUUUAGUUGUCUAUCAGGAUUUCUUCCGGAUUAAUUUUUUCUUGUAGUUGUUGGUUUUAGUUUUAUAUAUUUGGGUGUUUUUUGCCCCAGUGAUGUUACAAUGGUUGAACACCACUAAAUUUCAAGUAGUUUGAGAAUUUAAUUCUGUUCCAGUUUAAUCUACGGCCCUUCAUUGCAUAUCCAAUUUCUUAUUUGGGUUUUGAUUCUUUUUUGGAUCUUUUAUUUUGCCCUUCCUGCUGUAGUCGACUUUUGAUUCAUGUUUUUUGUAGCUGGCUACCCCAUUUCCUGCUCUUAUUGGGAUUCCUUCCUCUUGUUGGAUAUAACUGCAUGCCUUUUGGACACUAUUCAUUAUGCAGUGGCUAUUUUUUCAAAAAUAAGGUAAAACAAUAUGGAGACCAAUCAGGCCUCAACCAUAGGCCAUUUUGAAAUAGGCCUCUAGACCCUUUUCUUUUAUUCACACCUCAUCAAUUUACAUUUGUUUAAGUUAUUUUAGUCGAGUUUCACGUCUCUAUCUACUUUUAGCUGAAGGAAGUGUGGAUUUUCUUAAUGAUUAAUGACCAAUAACUAAUAACUAAUAUGUUAGGGUUUGUUUAUACCCUAACACGUGUCGCGAUUCUUCGAGGGAUCACGAUGAUUCCUAUGAUUAUAUUCCGAUUACUCCUAUGCCUACUUUACCAUUGGCAAACUGCUAGCACAUUAUUAAUGCUCAAGACCAUAUUACAACGAACAGAGAUGCCUCAUUUUUCUAGGCCUAUAAUUAUACGGUAGUCCUAAUAUGAUUAGGAAAUCAACGAUUAAAGAUCUUCCUAAUCGAAUAAGUUAUUUUAAAUAUAAUAAUUAUCGCUAAUCUCAUAAAUAGAAUAAUCCUAAUCCAGUAAGGAAAAUAUUAGAUAUGCAAGAUGGGUUUGGAUUCAUGAUUAUAACAUAAUCAUUUCAUGGAAAUCCCAAAUUCUACAAAUCAAUAGAAAUGAAAGUUAGUGUGUCAAUAAAAGAAUUUGAAGUUGGGAAGUCUAUUUAAAACCGCUUUGAGUUGCCAUUUAUCUGAUUUUGAAAGUUUG